RNAcentral lists this ribosomal RNA (253 nucleotides) under uncultured bacterium. RNAcentral's name for it is "partial 16S ribosomal RNA". It matches the Rfam family "Bacterial small subunit ribosomal RNA", at positions 524 to 776 of the family's 1533-position model. The record is from RNAcentral.
UACAGAGGGGGCCAGCGUUAUUCGGAAUUAUUGGGCGUAAAGGGCGCGUAGGCGGCCAUGCGUGUCUUCCGUGAAAUCCCUCGGCUUAACCGGGGAACUGCGUCUGAUACUGGAUGGCUUGAGUUCGGGAGAGGGAUGCGGAAUUCCAGGUGUAGCGGUGAAAUGCGUAGAUAUCUGGAGGAACACCGGUGGCGAAGGCGGCAUCCUGGACCGAUACUGACGCUGAGGAGCGAAAGCCAGGGGAGCAAACGGG